CAGCAGCCGCGGGAAUACGUAGGUGGCAAGCGUUGUCCGGAAUUAUUGGGCGUAAAGGGCUCGCAGGCGGUUUCUUAAGUCUGAUGUGAAAGCCCCCGGCUCAACCGGGGAGGGUCAUUGGAAACUGGGAAACUUGAGUGCAGAAGAGGAGAGUGGAAUUCCACGUGUAGCGGUGAAAUGCGUAGAGAUGUGGAGGAACACCAGUGGCGAAGGCGACUCUCUGGUCUGUAACUGACGCUGAGGAGCGGAAGCGUGGGGAGCGAACAGGAUUAGAUACCCCCGUAGUCCCUGUCUCUUAUAC
RNAcentral lists this ribosomal RNA (301 nucleotides) under uncultured bacterium. RNAcentral describes it as "partial 16S ribosomal RNA". It matches the Rfam family "Bacterial small subunit ribosomal RNA", at positions 509 to 807 of the family's 1533-position model. The record is from RNAcentral.